This 301-nucleotide ribosomal RNA is filed under the name uncultured bacterium. RNAcentral's name for it is "partial 16S ribosomal RNA". It matches the Rfam family "Bacterial small subunit ribosomal RNA", at positions 509 to 809 of the family's 1533-position model. The record is from RNAcentral.
CAGCAGCCGCGGUAAUACAGAGGGUGCAAGCGUUAAUCGGAUUUACUGGGCGUAAAGGGCGCGUAGGUGGUUAUUUAAGUGAGAUGUGAAAGCCCCGGGCUUAACCUGGGAACUGCAUCUUAUACUGGGUAACUGGAGUGCAGUAGAGGGUAGUGGAAUUUCCGGUGUAGCGGUGAAAUGCGUAGAUAUCGGAAGGAACACCAGUGGCGAAGGCGGCUACCUACUGAGACUGACACUGAGGCGCGAGAGCGUGGGGAGCAAACAGGAUUAGAUACCCGCGUAGUCCCUGUCUCUUAUACAC